Molecule: ribosomal RNA, 565 nt
Filed under: uncultured bacterium
Lineage: Bacteria
Description: partial 16S ribosomal RNA
Rfam family: Bacterial small subunit ribosomal RNA
Source: RNAcentral
UGGGGAAUUUUGGACAAUGGGCGAAAGCCUGAUCCAGCAAUGCCGCGUGUGUGAAGAAGGCCUUCGGGUUGUAAAGCACUUUUGUCCGGAAAGAAAUCCUUGGCUCUAAUACAGUCGGGGGAUGACGGUACCGGAAGAAUAAGCACCGGCUAACUACGUGCCAGCAGCCGCGGUAAUACGUAGGAUGCAAGCGUUAAUCGGAAUUACUGGGCGUAAAGCGUGCGCAGGCGGUUUGCUAAGACCGAUGUGAAAUCCCCGGGCUCAACCCUGGGGCAACUGCAUUGGUGACUGGCAGGCUAGAGUAUGGCAGAGGGGGGUAGAAUUCCACGUGUAGCAGUGAAAUGCGUAGAGAUGUGGAGGAAUACCGAUGGCGAAGGCAGCCCCCUGGGCCAAUACUGACGCUCAUGCACGAAAAGCGUGGGGGAGCAAAACAGGAUUAGAUACCCUGGUAGUCCACGCCCUAAAANGAUGUCAACUAGUUGUUGGGGAUUCAUUUCCUUAGUAACGUAGCUAACGCGUGAAGUUGACCGCCUGGGGAGUACGGUCGCAAGAUUAAAACUCAAAU